This 27-nucleotide small RNA is filed under the name Bombyx mori (domestic silkworm). Its description in RNAcentral is "ovarian small RNA-37258". The record is from RNAcentral. Lineage: Eukaryota; Metazoa; Arthropoda; Insecta; Lepidoptera; Bombycidae.
UUCCUAAUGCCUUCCACAUAAUGCGGU